Long non-coding RNA from Myotis brandtii (Brandt's bat), 279 nucleotides. RefSeq lists it as uncharacterized. The record is from RefSeq and is a predicted model, not a curated record. The transcript is spliced from 2 exons. NCBI's taxonomy places the organism in Eukaryota, Metazoa, Chordata, Mammalia, Chiroptera, Vespertilionidae.
GUCCACACCUUUGGGAAGCCCUGGACCUGCUGGGGUUGGACCCCAGCAGUCGAGGGGCGGGAAGAAACCCUGGACAGUGGCUUGGAUAAGCGGAUGCCCACAGAAAAAGCAGAGUACAGGUUCUGUGACUGAGAGUCACACUUGGUGGAGAUUACACAAGUAUUGUAUGACAAUGCCAGGCACUGGUACAGAGCUCUCCAUGUAUUGUCUUGGUAUCCCCUGAGCCACUGUGUCUCAUUCACAGUAAGUGUGUAAUAAACAUUUGCAGUAUUUUCUUUA